UACGUAGGGGGCAAGCGUUGUCCGGAAUUAUUGGGCGUAAAGGGCGCGUAGGCGGCCAUUCAAGUCGGAGGUGAAAGCCCAGGGCUCAACCCUGGAAUUGCCUUCGAUACUGUUUGGCUGGAGACCGGAAGAGGUAAGUGGAACUGCGAGUGUAGAGGUGAAAUUCGUAGAUAUUCGCAAGAACACCAGUGGCGAAGGCGGCUUACUGGUCCGGUUCUGACGCUGAGGCGCGAAAGCGUGGGGAGCAAACAGG
RNAcentral lists this ribosomal RNA (253 nucleotides) under uncultured bacterium. RNAcentral describes it as "partial 16S ribosomal RNA". It matches the Rfam family "Bacterial small subunit ribosomal RNA", at positions 524 to 776 of the family's 1533-position model. The record is from RNAcentral.